CCUACGGGUGGCUGCAGUGGGGAAUAUUGGACAAUGGGCGAAAGCCUGAUCCAGCCAUGCCGCGUGUGUGAAGAAGGCCUUCGGGUUGUAAAGCACUUUCAGUGGGGAAGAAAGCCUUGGGGCUAAUACCCUCGAGGAAGGACAUCACCCACAGAAGAAGCACCGGCUAACUCCGUGCCAGCAGCCGCGGUAAUACGGAGGGUGCGAGCGUUAAUCGGAAUUACUGGGCGUAAAGCGCGCGUAGGCGGUCUGAUAAGCCGGUUGUGAAAGCCCCGGGCUCAACCUGGGAACGGCACCCGGAACUGUCAGGCUAGAGUGCAGGAGAGGAAGGUAGAAUUCCCGGUGUAGCGGUGAAAUGCGUAGAGAUCGGGAGGAAUACCAGUGGCGAAGGCGGCCUUCUGGACUGACACUGACGCUGAGGUGCGAAAGCGUGGGUAGCAAACAGGAUUAGAUACCCGAGUAGUC
RNAcentral lists this ribosomal RNA (465 nucleotides) under Vreelandella stevensii. Its description in RNAcentral is "partial 16S ribosomal RNA". It matches the Rfam family "Bacterial small subunit ribosomal RNA", at positions 338 to 795 of the family's 1533-position model. Lineage: Bacteria; Pseudomonadati; Pseudomonadota; Gammaproteobacteria; Oceanospirillales; Halomonadaceae. The record is from RNAcentral.